Long non-coding RNA from Phacochoerus africanus (Common warthog), 1514 nucleotides. RefSeq lists it as uncharacterized. The record is from RefSeq and is a predicted model, not a curated record. Lineage: Eukaryota; Metazoa; Chordata; Mammalia; Artiodactyla; Suidae. The transcript is spliced from 4 exons.
GAGACUUGAGCAUCUGCAGAUUUCCGUAUCUGUGGGCUUCCUAGAACCAAUCCCACACAAAUACCAUGGGGUGACGUACUUGAGAAGGUGGAGCAGAGCAGGCCCUGAGGUGCUCUGGAUGUGCCCUGAGGAGUCAGGAGGAGGGACACUUCUGAUCAGUGCAGCAGACACUGCCCCUUGUCAGAAUGAUGUACACUCUCCCUUUCUUUAGACAUGAGCCCCAGUUUUGUUGGGGACAACAACAGGCCCAGCUAGAAGGGCUUGUAUUUCCAAGGCUCCUGUGCAGACAGAAUAGCGUGUGACACAUUCUAGUUAAAUUAUAUAAGCUGAAGAUGUUGAAUAAAGUUCCUUAAAAUGUGGGCAUGUGAGUAGAAGGAGGAGGAAGAGCUUAGACACAGCGGUUUCCUACAGAUUCACCCGUUGUCUUCCCCUUUCAUCCUGCCUAGGACUUGGAGAAGAUGCCAGGGAAGAUGGUAGCCACCACCCGUCUGCAGUGAAGAAGCCAAGAGGCUGAGGACCUGGAUGCUGAUAUCCCGGAGCUGCCUCCAGACUUCUUGUUCUAAGGAAAAUUGAACCAGCGAUUUGCUUACAGCUGUGCUUUGGGGGGAUCUUUGUUUCUCCCAGUCAAAUAUAAUCCCUAAUCCAUACAAUGGUCAACAUUUGACUUUAAUCCUUAAUUUCCAAAGAGUAUGUCAGAUAUUUGCUUGUACUAAAGUUUUGUGGAGCAGAUGCCCCUUGAAGGAACUAGACCAUCCUUUGGGGGCUUGGAAAUCCUUUCACAGAACCAAAUGUUUUGUUCUAGGGGUGUCUGUCUUUGCUGUAAAUCGAGCUGACCUACACGCACAACAUAUGACGAGCAUGAGGCAGCCCAACUGGUUUUAUUAGUUUUCCUUGGGCUUUGGUCUAAAAAGGUUUCUUGCUGAGUUGAUUUCACCCCUGAUAACUUCCUUCACACUCCACUUCCUAAUCGAAAAAGGCCCACAUCAGGGGUAGAGAAACAGAAACCAAGCCUUUCCCACCCUUCUCCUGGGACUCCUUAGCUCUUUACUACACCGCUGGGCUGGCUUAGCAAAAGCAAUUUGAUGUCCAGAAUUUCCUGGCAGCCUUCCACGAGUCUGUCUGCCUCAUCAGAAAACUCCAAUCAUCCUGGAAGCUGACAUGACUUUGGAAAGUGAAACGUAUUUCCCUAAAUUCUGGCCCAUAUGCCCCCAGGUGAAUCUCUCCAAGUCAUUAACCUUAAGAAACAAAUGACACUGGGCCCACUCGUCAGGGAGAAAUGCACAUCAUGUCAACAUGGGUGGAGUUCUGGCCACAGAAAGAGGAAAGUCGGCCUCCCUGACCCCAGGGCUGCUGUAUGCAGGUUCCGGACAAGUGGUGCCCCCAUAAGCAGCACUUCUGCUCUUGGCCAAAACCAUGAGAAAUGAAGGUCAAAAGAUGACCCAAGCCUUUUGAAGAUAGCCAAGUGUCUUCAGCAAAAUGGCAAAUUGCUCUCAGAAUAAACUGAAUGCAUUUUG